RNAcentral lists this ribosomal RNA (506 nucleotides) under uncultured bacterium. Its description in RNAcentral is "bacterial SSU rRNA". It matches the Rfam family "Bacterial small subunit ribosomal RNA", at positions 9 to 525 of the family's 1533-position model. The record is from RNAcentral.
GAGUUUGAUCCUGGCUCAGGACGAACGCUGGCGGCGUGCUUAACACAUGCAAGUCGAACGAGAUCCAUCCAGUAGCAAUACUGGUGAAGAUCUAGUGGCGAACGGGUGCGUAACACGUGAGGAACUUGUCCCGGUCUCUGGGAUAACAGUUGGAAACGACUGCUAAUACCGGAUGACGUCGGAGUGUCGCAUGGCACGCUGACGAAAGGGUUACCGGAUCGGGAGAGCCUCGCGGCCUAUCAGCUUGUUGGUGGGGUAAUGGCCUACCAAGGCAUCGACGGGUAGCUGGUCUGAGAGGAUGAUCAGCCACACUGGGACUGAGACACGGCCCAGACUCCUACGGGAGGCAGCAGUGGGGAAUCUUGCACAAUGGGCGAAAGCCUGAUGCAGCAACGCCGCGUGCGGGAAGAAGGCCCUCGGGUUGUAAACCGCUUUCAGAAGGAACGAAACUGACGGUACUUUCAGAAGAAGGUGCGGCCAACUACGUGCCAGCAGCCGCGGUAUUC